Dunckerocampus dactyliophorus (ringed pipefish) is the source of this 439-nucleotide long non-coding RNA. RefSeq lists it as uncharacterized. The record is from RefSeq and is a predicted model, not a curated record. Lineage: Eukaryota; Metazoa; Chordata; Actinopteri; Syngnathiformes; Syngnathidae. The transcript has 3 exons.
CCACCGUAGAAAUGGCUUCGGGUCUGCACUUUGAACACCUCUAAGAUAGAGUUGCCUAAAAGCUACAAUUCUUUGCUGCUGACCUGAUCAGGCGCAAAACAAGUUGGUUAAAUCAACGGCGGAACCUUGAAGUUCUGCGUCCCGACGAACGUUGAGAUCUCGUACUUUGUUUGGCGGUCCUUGAAUGCUCCGUACUUGCUGUGAGACGUGCUAGCCGUGACUCCGAUCCAACUGUUCUAUUGAUCGUCAUUGACAUUCAUUAGUGAAAACGGGAACAAAUGAACAUUUACACACAGGACCUGCGGAAACUACCAGUGACUGCUGAGACUUGGAGAAGGGGUCGGAUUAAAUAAACUCUGCUUCUUCCUACUCCUUUUGGACAUGUUGAAUUCCGCAAGUGCCAGUGUGAUGUUCCUGAAGCUAACUUGUUUGAAAUAAA